Molecule: unclassified non-coding RNA, 305 nt
Filed under: uncultured fungus
Lineage: Eukaryota; Fungi
Description: sequence contains ITS1
Rfam family: 5.8S ribosomal RNA (bases 1-105)
Source: RNAcentral
GAAAUGCGAUAAGUAGUGUGAAUUGCAGAAUUCAGUGAAUCAUCGAAUCUUUGAACGCACAUUGCGCCCUUUGGUAUUCCUUAGGGCAUGCCUGUUCGAGCGUCAUUUACACCCUCAAGCUCUGCUUGGUGUUGGGCAGCGGAUAGGCCCCCCUUGGGGGGCUGGUCCCGCCUCAAAUGCAUUGGCGGCCGGUUCAUUGGCUUCGAGCGCAGCAGAAACGCGUAACUCGGAUCCGGUGGGCUGGACACCAGAAGGCUUAUUUUAACUUUGACCUCGGAUCAGGUAGGGAUACCCGCUGAACUUAA